CCUACGGGGUGCUGCAGUCGAGAAUCAUUCACAAUGGGGGAAACCCUGAUGGUGCGACGCCGCGUGGGGGAAUGAAGGUCUUCGGAUUGUAAACCCCUGUCAUGUGGGAGCAAAUUAAAAAGAUAGUACCACAAGAGGAAGAGACGGCUAACUCUGUGCCAGCAGCCGCGGUAAUACAGAGGUCUCAAGCGUUGUUCGGCAUCACUGGGCGUAAGGCGUGCGUAGGCUGUUUCGUAAGUCGUGUGUGAAAGGCGCGGGCUCAACCCGCGGACGGCACAUGAUACUGCGAGACUAGAGUAAUGGAGGGGGAACCGGAAUUCUCGGUGUAGCAGUGAAAUGCGUAGAUAUCGAGAGGAACACUCGUGGCGAAGGCGGGUUCCUGGACAUUAACUGACGCUGAGGCACGAAGGCCAGGGGAGCGAAAGGGAUUAGAUACCCGGGUAGUC
RNAcentral lists this ribosomal RNA (446 nucleotides) under uncultured bacterium. RNAcentral describes it as "partial 16S ribosomal RNA". It matches the Rfam family "Bacterial small subunit ribosomal RNA", at positions 338 to 795 of the family's 1533-position model. The record is from RNAcentral.